GCAAGUAUACAUAUAUGUCUUUCUUUUUCAAAUUGAGGCUCCGACUCAGGCCUUGGUUUCUCACGGAGCUAUGCAGAGGCCGUAGCAACCAGGGAGGUAGAUAUUCAUAGGCCUACAUUGCUUAUCAUAUUUGAUUAUUAUGGAAUAAUUUGAUGUUCGACUCUAAGAGAUCUUCGAUCAAAUUUAUAUUGGAGCAAGCUCUCUUUCUGAUAGCGGAACCCAUUGAUGUGAUCUUGAAACCAUCUGAGAUUUGGGACUCCCACAUUGUUUGUGCAGCACCCC
RNAcentral lists this long non-coding RNA (282 nucleotides) under Elaeis guineensis (African oil palm). RNAcentral's name for it is "long non-coding RNA (EGUI_LNC004411)". Lineage: Eukaryota; Viridiplantae; Streptophyta; Magnoliopsida; Arecales; Arecaceae. The record is from RNAcentral.